GGUUGAUCCUGCCAGUAGUCAUAUGCUUGUCUCAAAGAUUAAGCCAUGCAUGUCUAAGUUCAUGCCUUUAUACGGUGAAACCGCGAAUGGCUCAUUAAAUCAGCUAUGGUUUAUUGGAUCAUACUCGUUAAAUGGAUAACUGUAAUAACUCUAGAGCUAAUACAUGCCACGAAGCCCUGACCCCGGGCUCCCUCGGGGAAUGGGUGCACUUAUUAGAACAGAAGCCAACCAGUCUCCGCGUGCAUUCCCUCCUUCGGGAGGUGUGUGCGCGGGCUGCAGCACUUCUGGUGA
This 291-nucleotide ribosomal RNA is filed under the name uncultured eukaryote. RNAcentral describes it as "partial 18S ribosomal RNA". It matches the Rfam family "Eukaryotic small subunit ribosomal RNA", at positions 6 to 249 of the family's 1831-position model. The record is from RNAcentral.